This 24-nucleotide non-coding RNA is filed under the name Arabidopsis thaliana (thale cress). Lineage: Eukaryota; Viridiplantae; Streptophyta; Magnoliopsida; Brassicales; Brassicaceae. The record is from RNAcentral.
UCUCGCCACUUCCAAUUACGACGA